RNAcentral lists this ribosomal RNA (498 nucleotides) under uncultured bacterium. RNAcentral describes it as "partial 16S ribosomal RNA". It matches the Rfam family "Bacterial small subunit ribosomal RNA", at positions 28 to 507 of the family's 1533-position model. The record is from RNAcentral.
GACGAGCGCUGGCGGCGUGCCUAAUACAUGCAAGUCGAGCGGACGGAUGGGAGCUUGCUCCCAGACCGUCAGCGGCGGACGGGUGAGUAACACGUGGGCAACCUGCCUGUAAGUCUGGGAUAACUCCGGGAAACCGGGGCUAAUACCGGAGAACUCUUUCCCUCACGUGAGGGAAAGCUGAAAGAUGGCAUCUCGCUAUCACUUACAGAUGGGCCCGCGGCGCAUUAGCUAGUUGGUGAGGUAACGGCUCACCAAGGCGACGAUGCGGAGCCGACCUGGGGGAGGGAUCGGCGACACUGGAGCGGGGACACGGCCCAGACUACUACGGGAGGCAGCAGUAGGGAAUCUGACGCAAUGGACGAAAGUCUGACGGAGCAACGCCGAGUGAGUGAUGAAGGUGUUCGGAGCGUAAAGCUCUGUUGUGAGGGAAGAACAAGUACCGGAGUAACUGACGGUACCUUGACGGUACCUGAACAGAAAGCCACGGCUAACUACGUG